CAAUAGCGUAUAUUAAAGUUGUUGCAGUUAAAAAGCUCGUAGUUGGAUUUCUGGUUGGAGCGACCGGUCGGGCAUUGAUUUGUCUGCACUGGAGUCGGUUCUGGCCAUCCUCUUGGAAAGUGCGUCUGUCAUUAAGUUGUCGGGCGUAUGAUCCAGGUCUUUUACUGUGAAAAAAUUAGAGUGUUUAAAGCAGGCCUUCGCCUUGAAUACAUUAGCAUGGAAUAAUAAGAUAGGACUUUGGUCUAUUUUGUUGGUUUGCAGACCGAAGUAAUGAUUAAUAGGGAUAGUUGGGGGUAUUUAUAUUCCAAUGUCAGAGGUGAAAUUCUUGGAUUGUGUUACGACGAACUACUGCGAAAGCAUUUGCCAAGGAUGUUUUCAUUGAUCAAGAACGAAAGUAAGGGAUCGAAGACGAUUAGAUACCGU
RNAcentral lists this ribosomal RNA (423 nucleotides) under uncultured eukaryote. RNAcentral describes it as "bacterial SSU rRNA". It matches the Rfam family "Eukaryotic small subunit ribosomal RNA", at positions 592 to 1018 of the family's 1831-position model. The record is from RNAcentral.